GUACACGCUGUGACUAGCAUAUCAAUAAGCGGAGGAAAAGAAACUAACAAGGAUUCCCUUAGUAACGGCGAGUGAAGCGGGAAGAGCUCAAAUUUGAAAUCUUGAAAGGUCACCUUUCACGAAUUGUAGUUUAAAGAAGUGUUUUCUGUUACGAUCGUAAUAUAAGUUCUUUGGAAUAGGACAUCACAGAGGGUGAGAAUCCCGUCUAUGAUUGCGAUUUGUAGCUUUGUGAUACACUUUCAAAGAGUCGGGUUGUUUGGGAAUGCAGCCCAAAACGGGAGGUAAAUUUCUUCUAAGGCUAAAUAUUGGCGAGAGACCGAUAGCGAACAAGUACCGUGAGGGAAAGAUGAAAAGAACUUUGAAAAGAGAGUUAAAUAGUACGUGAAAUUGUCAAAAGGGAAGCGUUUAACACCAGUGUUGUUUUCUGAAAAUCAACCUCUGUUAGCUUAUGCAUGUUUGUUUAGACCUAAUCAGCUAUCUUUCAUGUUCUAUUGUUUGCAGUGGUGCACUUUUCAGUUUACAGGUCAACAUCAGUUUUUUUUUACCGUAAAAAAGUUAAAGAAAGGUAGCUCAUGGCUCCGGUCGUGAGUGUUAUAGUCUUUUUCCUAUGCGGUAGGAGAGACUGAGGUCUGCAGUGUAGGCUAUUUGGCUAGAUACUCAGGUGCUAUGUGAUACCAUUUCAUAAACAACUUGUUGAUUAUGUUUUGUCUAUUGCAUACUCGCUUGUACUAUCAUACCUACGCUUAGGAUGUUGAGUAGCGACAUACGCAC
This 771-nucleotide ribosomal RNA is filed under the name uncultured Neocallimastigales. Its description in RNAcentral is "partial large subunit ribosomal RNA". The stretch from base 4 to 661 matches the Rfam family "Eukaryotic large subunit ribosomal RNA", at positions 24 to 664 of the family's 3401-position model. Lineage: Eukaryota; Fungi; Neocallimastigomycota; Neocallimastigomycetes; Neocallimastigales. The record is from RNAcentral.